GACGAACGCUGGCGGCGUGCUUAACACAUGCAAGUCGAACGGAAAGGCCCUGCUUUUGUGGGGUGCUCGAGUGGCGAACGGGUGAGUAACACGUGAGUAACCUGCCCUUGACUUUGGGAUAACUUCAGGAAACUGGGGCUAAUACCGGAUAGGAGCUCCUGCUGCAUGGUGGGGGUUGGAAAGUUUCGGCGGUUGGGGAUGGACUCGCGGCUUAUCAGCUUGUUGGUGGGUAGUGGCUUACCAAGGCUUUGACGGGUAGCCGGCCUGGGAGGGUGACCGGCCACAUUGGGACUGAGAUACGGCCCAGACUCCUACGGGAGGCAGCAGUGGGGAAUAUUGCACAAUGGGCGGAAGCCUGAUGCAGCAACGCCGCGUGCGGGAUGACGGCCUUCGGGUUGUAAACCGCUUUCGCCUGUGACGAAGCGUGAGUGACGGUAAUGGGUAAAGAAGCACCGGCUAACUACGUG
RNAcentral lists this ribosomal RNA (467 nucleotides) under uncultured bacterium. RNAcentral's name for it is "partial 16S ribosomal RNA". It matches the Rfam family "Bacterial small subunit ribosomal RNA", at positions 28 to 507 of the family's 1533-position model. The record is from RNAcentral.